CAAUGACGUCAUACCUACCGAAGCAUACCAACACACAAAUUUUCCUGGUGGUCCUAUCAUGCUGACGAUGAAACUAAGCAGGAUCACUCUGAAAAUGUCAGACUUGGAGGAGUACGAGCAACUCAAGCGUGCCAAAGAGAAACUGAUGGACACCGACGACCCUCCACCCACUACCACCCCUCAGAAGGGAGAGCCAUCCACCGCCACUGGACCCAAGUUUGAUAAACCAAGCAGAAGUGUCCCCCGAUCAUCAACACCUGAACACUCUACAUAAUGACUUUAUAUGUUUUGCUCGCUUUAUAAUAUCAUAAUAGCUCUGUACAUGCAAUCUUGUUCACUCUUUUCAAAAAUUUAACAAUCAAAGAUAAUUAUACACAAUUACAA
Molecule: long non-coding RNA, 384 nt
Organism: Halichondria panicea
Lineage: Eukaryota; Metazoa; Porifera; Demospongiae; Suberitida; Halichondriidae
Exons: 2
Source: RefSeq, a predicted model, not a curated record